This 274-nucleotide ribosomal RNA is filed under the name uncultured bacterium. RNAcentral describes it as "partial 16S ribosomal RNA". It matches the Rfam family "Bacterial small subunit ribosomal RNA", at positions 523 to 796 of the family's 1533-position model. The record is from RNAcentral.
AUACGGAGGGAGCAAGCGUUAUUCGGAAUCACUGGGCGUAAAGGACGCGUAGGCGGGUUUGUAAGUCAGGUGUGAAAUCCUACAGCUCAACUGUAGAACUGCACUUGAAACUACAGACCUAGAGUAUGGAAGGGGCAGAUGGAAUUAGUGGUGUAGGGGUAAAAUCCGUAGAUAUCACUAGGAAUACCGAAAGCGAAGGCGAUCUGCUGGGACAUUACUGAUGCUGAGGCGUGAAAGCGUGGGGAGCAAACAGGAUUAGAAACCCUAGUAGUCC